GGGCGGUUAGCUCAGUUGGUUAGAGCGCUACGUUGACAUCGUAGAGGCCACAAGUUCGAAUCUUGUACCGCCCA
This 74-nucleotide transfer RNA is filed under the name Gemmatimonas sp. SG8_17. RNAcentral describes it as "tRNA-Val". It matches the Rfam family "tRNA". From Rfam's summary of the family: Transfer RNA (tRNA) molecules are approximately 80 nucleotides in length. Their secondary structure includes four short double-helical elements and three loops (D, anti-codon, and T loops). Further hydrogen bonds mediate the characteristic L-shaped molecular structure. tRNAs have two regions of fundamental functional importance: the anti-codon, which is responsible for specific mRNA codon recognition, and the 3' end, to which the tRNAs corresponding amino acid is attached (by aminoacyl-tRNA synthetases). tRNAs cope with the degeneracy of the genetic code in two manners: having more than one tRNA (with a specific anti-codon) for a particular amino acid; and 'wobble' base-pairing, i.e. permitting non-standard base-pairing at the 3rd anti-codon position. RNAcentral also lists the same sequence under 2 other names. The record is from RNAcentral. Lineage: Bacteria; Pseudomonadati; Gemmatimonadota; Gemmatimonadia; Gemmatimonadales; Gemmatimonadaceae.